RNAcentral lists this ribosomal RNA (492 nucleotides) under uncultured bacterium. RNAcentral's name for it is "partial 16S ribosomal RNA". It matches the Rfam family "Bacterial small subunit ribosomal RNA", at positions 29 to 507 of the family's 1533-position model. The record is from RNAcentral.
AGUGAACGCUGGCGGUAGGCCUAACACAUGCAAGUCGAACGGCAGCACAGUAAGAGCCUGCUCUUACGGGUGGCGAGUGGCGGACGGGUGAGGAAUACAUCGGAAUCUACUUUUUCGUGGGGGAUAACGUAGGGAAACUUACGCUAAUACCGCAUACGACCUACGGGUGAAAGCAGGGGAUCUUCGGACCUUGCGCGAUUGAAUGAGCCGAUGUCGGAUUAGCUAGUUGGCGGGGUAAAGGCCCACCAAGGCGACGAUCCGUAGCUGGUCUGAGAGGAUGAUCAGCCACACUGGAACUGAGACACGGUCCAGACUCCUACGGGAGGCAGCAGUGGGGAAUAUUGGACAAUGGGCGCAAGCCUGAUCCAGCCAUACCGCGUGGGUGAAGAAGGCCUUCGGGUUGUAAAGCCCUUUUGUUGGGAAAGAAAAGCAGCAGGGUAAUACCCCGCUGUUCUGACGGUACCCAAAGAAUAAGCACCGGCUAACUUCGUG